UAAAAUUAGUAUACUUUGAAUCAAGAGAGCAUGAAAUUCAUUUUUAGCUUAGAUAUUAUUUUAUAGGAUCAAGGGGGAAAAAAUGCAAGACCCGUCAACAUCUUUUCUCUAGUUAUUAGUGUUCUGAGAGGCACGGGUAUAGUUAUUCCGAAAUCGAUUCAUAAAGCGAGGCUUUUUUUUUUUUUUUCUAUACGGCGUCGGAUGAUAAAUUGUCUCAGUUUUCCGCCGUUCCACCUCACUUGCAAUCGUCACAGGAGUGGUUUAUCCGUUUUAUUUAUUGUCUAUGAUGCUUUCGACACAACGUCGUCCGACGGGCGUGCCCGGGGAUUUUCAACGGACCGGGACGUAGAGAACAUAAUAUUAUCAUAACGAUGUUAAACAAAUCUUCUUCUCUCGAAUCGACUCGGAAGUCGGAUGCGAAAAAUGUCAGCUAAAAUCGACCGGCAUGUUUCGAGAUUAAAUCACCCGAAGUGGUCGCGAGGAAAACAAAUGCAAAGGGGUGAGCUGGGAUGGAGGGGGUGUGUAACCGUUAACCGAUUUUGAUUGUCUCUAAUGCCGUACAUUUACUUUUAUCGCGCAUGAUUGCAUACCAUUCUAAACCAUAUCGACGUGAAAUAUUUCUAGAAUAAAACCUUUUACCCGUUUCGUCCCG
Molecule: non-coding RNA, 652 nt
Organism: Cinara cedri
Lineage: Eukaryota; Metazoa; Arthropoda; Insecta; Hemiptera; Aphididae
Source: the annotation of a GenBank genome assembly